This 347-nucleotide unclassified non-coding RNA is filed under the name soil metagenome. RNAcentral's name for it is "partial contains 5.8S ribosomal RNA, internal transcribed spacer 2, and large subunit ribosomal RNA". The stretch from base 1 to 120 matches the Rfam family "5.8S ribosomal RNA", at positions 35 to 154 of the family's 154-position model. The record is from RNAcentral.
GAUGAAGAACGUAGCGAAAUGUGAUAAUUAAUGUGAAUUGCAGAAUUCAGUGAAUCAUCGAGUCUUUGAACGCACAUUGCGCCCCCUGGUAUUCCGGGGGGCAUGCCUGUCCGAGCGUCAUUGCUGCCCUCAAGCACGGCUUGUGUGUUGGGCUUCCGUCCCUGGCAACGGGGACGGGCCCAAAAGGCAGUGGCGGCACCAUGUCUGGUCCUCGAGCGUAUGGGGCUUUGUCACCCGCUCCCGUAGGUCCAGCUGGCAGCUAGCCUCGCAACCAAUCUUUUUAACCAGGUUGACCUCGGAUCAGGAAGGGAUACCCGCUGAACUUAAGCAUAUCAAUAAGCGGAGGA